RNAcentral lists this microRNA precursor (62 nucleotides) under Homo sapiens (human). RNAcentral's name for it is "Hsa-Mir-7-P1_pre stem-loop". It matches the Rfam family "mir-7 microRNA precursor family", at positions 16 to 77 of the family's 91-position model. Rfam says of the family: This family represents the microRNA (miRNA) precursor mir-7. In this case the mature sequence comes from the 5' arm of the precursor. The record is from RNAcentral. Lineage: Eukaryota; Metazoa; Chordata; Mammalia; Primates; Hominidae.
UGGAAGACUAGUGAUUUUGUUGUUGUCUUACUGCGCUCAACAACAAAUCCCAGUCUACCUAA